This is a long non-coding RNA of Myotis lucifugus (little brown bat), 184 nucleotides long. RefSeq lists it as uncharacterized. The transcript is spliced from 3 exons. The record is from RefSeq and is a predicted model, not a curated record. Lineage: Eukaryota; Metazoa; Chordata; Mammalia; Chiroptera; Vespertilionidae.
CUGUUUUCCAUCCUGUGCAAAUGCUUCUCCCACUCGGCGUUCACCUUCGGUAUCGAGAGCCACAUCAGCCAGUCGAACAUCAACGGGACGCUGGUGCCGCCCGCCGCCCUCAUCUCCAUCCUGCAGAAGGGGCUGCAGUACGUGGAGGCCGAGAUCAGCAUCAACGAGGAUGGCACGGUAUUCG